RNAcentral lists this long non-coding RNA (39867 nucleotides) under Coffea arabica (coffee). RNAcentral's name for it is "long non-coding RNA (CARA_LNC001178)". Lineage: Eukaryota; Viridiplantae; Streptophyta; Magnoliopsida; Gentianales; Rubiaceae. The record is from RNAcentral.
UUUUUUUUUUUUUUUGUCGACACAGGGGUGUCCGAGUCAAUCCUUACGGGGCCCGACUAGUUUAAGGCAAAGCUAAUUUAUAGAAAAAUGUUUUUUUUCCCUUUAGAAGUGGCAGCCAAACUAUUGCCUAACACUGUAAAGUGUAAACUAGUGUAGUACUUAUUCUGUCUAGAAAAUAUGCAGUAAAACAAACUGAAAACUGACUUGGAGGGUCAGAGGUGGGAGGAUAAUUCAAAAUCUCUCAUUUACAAAAAAAAAUACAGAUUAUUUGUUUUUAUUAUUGACAUUAUACAAUUUGUUCACAUUAUCUUCACAAAACUAGGGCCAAAUAGUACAAUCAAAUAUUCUCAAAUUAAUAAUAUUUAUUUUCAAGUUACGUCAAUAACAGGAUGAAUUUUCAAUUCUCGAGUCUAAUUCAUAAAUUAGUCAAAUGAAAUCAUUUUCGCAAUGAAAUUUUUUGCCAUCAAUAGAACUAUAGAAGAUUUCAAAAAUCCCAACGAAGUGAGUUAUCAAAUCCAUAAUAUUAGACAGAACAAAAUACUUUUGAUUAAGAUGCAUAUCCUGGUAUUUCUUAAGUAUUUUAUUUUAGUUCCAAAAAUACUUUUUUAUUUAAGAACGUAUUUAUUAAAAUACUUUAGUUCAUUAAACCUACAAAUGGUCAUCACAUGUGUCAUGUAUCUAUAUAAUAGAAAUAUUUGAGGCAAUAAAUAGUAAAUAGUCAUUGUUCCCAUAGUCGACGACGGCUUUUUGUAAAGUUGACCAUAUAGCUUUUAUACGAUGGAAACUACGUAUGAAUAUGCAGGGGUUUCUCCAGAAAUGAAUAUUCACUCAGGCAGUGAUAGUAACCUUCCUUAGAUGAGCAUAAUUUACCUCCAAAAUGAACUAAUGAAGACAUUACUUGAUAGUUGAGGGUUUAGAGGUUUAGAGUUCAAAUCUCCCCUCGCUUCGUUUCUUAUUUCCCACUUUUUCACUGCCAAAAAAAUUUUAAAAACAGAGAGCUGAGACUAAUAGUAGAACUUUGAAAAGUUUAUAUUUUGGCUCCGGGAGACAAGGGUGAUUGAUCCUUAAUCAAUAGAUAUACCCUUUUUUAAUCAAUAUAUAUACCCUUUUUUAAUCAAUAGAUAUACCAUUUUGUCCUAGAGUUUGAUGGGUUAUAUAUAGGCAUGUCUUGCCUGGAUUUGGAAAGAAGACGGAUUUCCAUUGGCAUAAUCGUUUUAACCUUCCUCAUUUCAGCCUGCCACGAGAAACCAUACAAAAAUUGAGAUGAGUUUGGCAAUUUCUUUUCAAUUAGACUUUUAACAUGAGCAAAAGUAGAUUAAAAAUGAUCUAUCGCUUCCAUUUGCAGUGAUCUAUUUAUAAAAUUUUGCCUAUAUUAAACAGUAGUUUAUCAUGGAAAAACUGAAAUGUCCUAAGUAUGAUUUAUGUACUCCAUCAAUUUCUUUAUUUUUUUUUGGGUAAAAUUUCUGUCCAGGAGUAAAAUUUGAUUUCCAUUAGGCAAAAGUUAUAGACAAGCGUGACCGAAUGAUUAUUCUUGCAAUCAGCACUAAUCAAGAGGAGAGCAAUGUGCCCAUACCAAAAAAGUUGAGUACCAGUACCAUUUUUUUUUUCUUUUGGGUUGGAAAAGAUUGAAAAUUAGACAGGAAAUAAAGAUGAACUAUUCUAUUUUUCCCAAGGAUGUUACCUUUAAUAAUUAGGUAUUAUAUUCCACAAAAGAAAAAGUUGCCAAAAGUUACAAUAUUUAUGUCAUAAUCUGCCCCCACACUGCCCGCGGCAGGUGGAAGGAAAGGGAGGCAUUAACAAUUCUUAAUCAAGUGUGAUACGAUGUAAUUAUCUGAACAGUGAAGUUUAGUGGAUCUCCCUUUAGAUGGUUGAUUUUUAAGCAUUGUUGAAAAAAAAAAUCAAGUGUUAUACGAAUUGACCAAAAUUUGGAUAGACGCGAUUCAAUGACUCAAAUUGUAUCAUGCAAUCAAUCAAGUGGUGUGGCAUAAUCUAGACCAUUGAUUCUUUGAAUACCAGAUUUAUCCAAAUAACAUUGGAAGAGCCUGGCUGUGUAGGCCCAAUCAAAUUCUAGUCUUCUUAGACUCAAAAAAAAAAAAAAGAUAUUCAUUGAUAAUGCUUUCUAUGGAGAACAUUUUAGAUGGUUGACUAAUUAAAAAGCUAGAAUUUUUCCUACGUGCUAUAGUCAUGAAUCAUUAGGUAGUGCUUCUAAGCAUAUGUGUUUUGAAAUGGUAUUUAUGGCAAGAAUACUGUGCUAAAAAUAUAAUGAGUCAGAACAAUUCUGAAAUUAGUUUACAAAAAACUUCUGAAAUUAAAAAAGGGGGUAACAAAUUAAAAAAAAUAAAGUAUCACACAAUAUUAAUAUUAUCAAUUUCUUUUUUGGUUUGGGUAGGAAUAUCACCAAUUUCUAAUAAUGCUACUCAAUGCGACCCAAAAAGCGAGUCCAAUAUACACAUAUCCAAGGUCUUCAAAAAGCAGAUAUAUACAUAUCCAAGGUAAGAAAAAAAAAAUGCCAGUCCACUUGUUCCAGCGUAAAUGGCAUAUUGAUAUUCCCAGAGUAAUGCAAAUCAUAUAUAGGUAACCAAUUUGGGCUGAAAAUUGUAGGGCCAACCCGUGAGAGCCACUUACUUUGUAUCAACCUCUUUCCUUCGACAAAUCACAGUAGCAACACGUAUUUGGACCGAAAGAGCCCAAUCGAAAACAUAAGUAGUUUGGCUAAAUCACCAGGGAGGUUGACGUAGUUACCCCUAGUUUCAAUAGGUAAGUGAUAUUUGCACUUAGAAAUAGCUCAUGGCGUUCUUAAAUUGUCUUUCACAGUUUUAGAAGAUGAAAGUAUUUUUUUGAUUCUUCCGCGACAUACACUUCUUAAGAAAGGAUCGUACAUUUUAGCAAAAUAUUCAUUUUUAGUAUUGUCAUUCAUUACACAAUCUAGUUCUUGUUUCGAGUAUAUCCCGAAAAAGAAAUUCCUUAUCUAGGGCUUGAAUUCAAUUUCUAAACUCAUUGUUUAGAUUCUUUCUUUUUGGCUUAUUCAUGUAAACCCAACGUUUGUCAAAUUCAUUAGAGUAAGAUUUUUCUGAUCUAACAUUUUAUUAUGUGAAGAAAAAUGGAGUGCCACAAUUAUUUUAGAGUACAAAUUCAUUUCGGAAUAUCUUACUUUAGUUCACCUAAACUAAAGAAUGAAUAUAUGAGGGAUUCUAAACGAUAAUAAUGGAUUGCUAGCAUAAGCCGUAGUUUCACCAGCUUUGAGUUAGUAAGUUCUAAUAAUUACGGCCCUGUUUGGAAGCUUGGUUUUUUACCAAGUUUGUAUAAAACUAGUUUUUUAACAACUUUUACUACAGGAACCCCAAAAAACUUAUUAAAUCUUUUAACCUACACGCUUAAAAUAUCCAAAACACAACAAAAAAAAUUCCCUUCCCCUUUUCUUCUUCUUCCUCCCCCAUCACCACCUCCAUUGCCGGCUCCAUCACCAAUUUCCGGUGUCGGUCUUUUUUUUUUCCCCCUUUUUUUCCCUCUUCCUCCCCUGCCAUCAUCCUCUCGUCUUUUUUUCUCUCUCUAUGUCCGGCGCAGAGGGGGGUGGCGCAGAGGAGCGGCAAGGGGGGCAGAGGGGGGCAGCACAGAGGGGGACGGCGGGGAGAGAGGGAAGGCGGGGGAGGGGGAAGGGCAGAGGGGGGCGGCGGGGCAGAGGGGGCGGCGCAGAUGGGGGCGACGGGGGAGAGGGGGAAGGGGCAGAGGGGGGUGGCGAGGGGAGGGGGAAGGCGGGGUAAAGGUGGGCGGCGGGAGGUGGAGUUGCUGCUGGGGGUGGCGGAGGUAACGGGGAAGAAGAAGAAGAAGAAGAAGAAGAAGAAGAGAGGAAAGAAAAGAAAAAGGAAAGAAAGAAAAAGAAAAAGAAAAAGAAAGGGAAAGAGAAAAAAAGAAAAGGAAAAAAAAAGAAAAAAAAAUUUUUCACUUUACAAAAACUUCUACAAAAUUUUUUCAAAAACUUCUACAGUGCACUACAGUAAAGUUUUAGACAAACUCCAAAAAAACUCAGGUUCCAAAGAGGCCUACAUUAUGCUCUAGAGUUGACUAUGAGACGGUUAUCUAAAGUUGUCAUAUUAUGAAAUCUUAUUGCAAGAGAUUGUAAAAUGUUUUUGCGUUGUAAUUAAAAAUCACCAUCUCAUCAAUUAAAAUGUUUAUGCCCUUUUAUUUUUUACUAUCCAUCAAAUACUCAGAAUACUUCUAUUUUUUUUUAUUUAAAUGUGCUUUUGUCAAAAAAUUGAGAAGACUUUUAAAAUUUUAUCUUUGCCUUUGCUGAAAAUUAAUUCUCACUCCAAAACUAAUAGCAUUGUACAUACCCUAUCCAAAACAUUAUGACUAAAAGUAUGAUAAUUGAAAAUAAAAAAUUCUAAAAAGAAAAAAAUGUUAAUUUCAACUCAAAAAAAGAAGAAAAUAGAAAAAAGAGAGAAAUCCUCAAAGGUUUCAUUAGUUUUUCCAAUAGAUUUAGUUUUUUGAGAUGCUCUUCCCUCUGCCUUUUGACCUCUAUGACUUUAAGUGUCCUUUUCUCCAUAGUUUAUCUUUCCUAGUUGAAUUUUCUCUCUAAUUUUUUGGUGAGUCUCAUCAUCUUCCUUUUUUUAGGUUUUUAAGAUUUUCAAUAUUAUUAAUUAAAUUGAAAACAGGGCGAAAGCUAUAAUACCUAAUGCCAUCAAUUCUACUAACAGAAAAAAAAUUCAAAUUAUAAUAUUAUUCCUCUGUAGCUUAACUAGUGUUAUUAUUCUAUCACUAAUUGAAUUGUAUUAUAUUAUUAUUGAAAAACAAACCACUAUAAUUAACAUUAUAUUAGUGUUCAUUUUGGUUAGGGAACUGGAGUUGUGAUAGCGAAGCAUGAAAGGAUUGAAAUGAAACUUCACAGGCAAGAAAGUCUCUAUUAAACUAUCUAGGCCCUAGACAUAAUGGUUUAUCAAAAUAAAAAAACAAAAAUAAUAAUUAUAGUGAAAAUGAGAUUACCCUAACAAAGAAAAUCAUAUCCAACAACCUCAACUAUUCGAUCGACUCUUUAAAAGGAAUUGGUACACAUUUCCGCCCUACAUAAUUUUUCAUCUAAAUAUGCCCUAUAGUUCCUAAAUUGUAGGAAUGGAUUUUUCUGUACUGUGAAAUAGAGGAACUUUAGACACACUAUUCUAAUCUUCAUUUGAUCAUAGUGUGAUUGUCAAUUCAUCAACAUAACAUACAACAUGCCAAAGGAUUUCGUCGUCGUCAUGUGCUGCUCGUGUGAGUUUUGUAAGUUCGCGCUUCUCCGGAUGCUCCGUUGGAAUGGUUGGGGUAAUUGGGUGGCGGCCCAUGGGUUUUCUGCUUUCGAAUUAAUGGCCGUACCGCUUCCUUUCCUUUCCAGGCUCUCAUAGUUACAUUGUUCGAAGCUGGCAGCAAACCUUUGUCAAGAAUGGUAAUUGGCGUGAUUCAUUACGCCUGCGACUUCCGAUUUCCUCCGAAUCCCGACACUGGUUGGCUAUGCCCUUUUUCCCUACUGUUUUCUCAUUUGCUUCUUUCCUUUCCGCUUUCUGGAGUUUUUUGUUCCCUUGAACCCGUCCCUCUUUUUUGAUCUCCUUCCUCUCACCGGAUUCCCUGCCCAGCUUUAUUGCGAGCUCAGUUGCGUCUUCUUCGUUGAAUUUUAAGCUCGGUCUCCUCGGCCUUCUUUUGCUGGUGCGUUUUGCUUUUUCUUUCCCCCUAUUUUACGUUGCAAUUUAUUGUUGGCCAUGGUGUUUACUUUGAUGCUUUUACAAUGCUGUGUCUCGCCCUUAUUUUCUUGAGUUGGUCAGUGUUCUUUGCUGCCAUUAAUUAUUUCCUUUUUAUUAUUAUGCUGCAAGGGAGUAAUGCUGCCGUUAAUUAUUGGGAUCUGCACGGCGUUGUAGUUCUGUUCUUUUCCCCUGUUGAUUUCAUUUUUGUUUUCCCUUGGGUCUUUGUUUCGCUUUUCCAAUAGCCUUUGCUUCCUGUACGUUCCUUUUCCGUGGCAUGCAUGUGUUAUAAUUAAUUAGUAAUUGCUAUUAUUUUUCUCAUCAAGUUUCAAGUUGCCUUUGUUACUUAUGUAUUUGUGGGUAUUUUGGGUUCUGAUUUAACAUAGCCUACGGCAUCUUAGUUAAAAAAGAAUAAAUUUGGAGUGCCAAAAUCAUUACUCCAUCACAAUUGUUUAGAAUUGGCUUUUCCUUUUCUUUAUAAGAGAAGAGUUCCCAUUGAUUAUCCAAGUGUUAUUCACCAUAAUUAUUUCUUGAAAAAAAGGGUAACCCUUCCAAUACGAAUUCCAUGCAUGCAAUACUGUUAAAUUUCCUAAUUCUUCUAGGAGUCAGUUUAUACAUGAGGUGGAUGUAUAUAUAUAUAAUCCUAAGAGCAGUAUUGAACGGCCACAAAAUUAUGAAAAAAUUUAUCAUCCUCUCAAACUUUAAAUUUUAGCCCCCUUAGAGAAGACGGUCGACAAAAUUCACGAUUACGAAUUCUUCUUCGACAUUGAAUCUCCAGCUGGUGAGAAAAUGACAGAGCUUCAAGAAUGGAUGCAAGCGGAUAGAGAAUUGGUGAGGAAGUUGAGCAUGAGAAGAGAAUUAGAGGGCUUACCCUCGUUUUCUUCCAUAAAUAGUAGUCUAGAAAUAGGUUUAAUUUGGGGCAGCAGUGACUACUAUAUUAGAAGGCAAAAAUUUCUUAGAAGUUACACAUUUAGGAAGAAAGAAACUGCAUCCCAGAGGGCAAAGAAGUUGUGGGGCAAAGUGAAGCAAAAGGUCUUGAAACCGAAGAACAAUAGAACUGAGGAUCAUGGGUCAAAUAAUAGUAGCUCUUUAGCAAAAACUGGACGUGCAAGUUAGCCAUAGCUCUUUUUUCUGCCACUUUUGCCAUGGAGUGGGGGGGAUUUGCCAGUUUUGCCCACGAUGGCGUUGGUGUAGAUGGGUUGAUGUUUUUUACCUUGAAUGUUACUUACUUUGUUUAUGCAUUUCCUUUUUUAUUCCCUCACCUUCUUGUACAUCUGUCUGUUCUUCUUACAUUUCUAUUAGCCUUGCUGAUUACGAACGGUUUUCCUUGACUAAUGUUUUGUUCCUGGUUUUUCCCGUGUUCUCUAAGAAAUGGCUACUGAGCCUGUGUGCAUAUCACGAGUUGAUAAGUCUUCAAUUGAUUAGACUGUGCUGGUUCAAGUUAUCGAAGCUGAUCGUGUAAAGAUUACUCGAGAUGGGGAUUUAUCGAGGUCCUUGCGUCGAUUUCAAUUUGGUGACUUUCAGGUUUGAUCCAUCCAGAUUGAUCCUAUCUCCCCCCCUUCUAUUGUGUUGGUUGUGUUUUUUUUUGUGGUUAACUGAAACUCCUGAGGUGUUUCUCCCCCUUGUGGAUAGGGUAUCAAGGUCUCUGCGGUUGUCUUUGACGAUGUUGUUGCUAUUGUUGACGGGCUUCUUUCGCCGUUUAGAAAGUAUUACAUAUCAAAUGCAGAGGUGCAUGAGAUUCCUGAACUUGUUGGAAUGAGCUUGUAUUCAUUUUACUGGGUUAUCAAUGAGGGAACUAUUAUUGAAGAGUCUGCUGCCUCCGAGGAACUGGCUCUUCCUUUCUAUUUUGAAUUGCGCUCUUUUCAAUACUUCCACUUUGUGGCUGACACGGAUACUUUUAUAAGUUAGUCCAUUUGUUUACAUGUUUAGCGCUUUCUUUCCUCCCUCGCCAUUUGAUUGUUCCUAACUGUGUUCAUUUAUGGUUUUAAUGUGGAUGUCAUGGGAGUUGUUAUCCAUGCAUUGCCUCCACGGGAUGUGUAUUUUUGGAGGAAGCAAACGAUAUGGUAGAGAUUAUAUUAUAGUAGACCAAAGUUUAGUUUUUCCCUCUCAAGCACAACCCCUUUUAAUUGUUUAGCGAUUGUUUGCCUCCCAAACAAGAGCUUCCCAUGUGAUAACUCUUUGCUGCUUACUUAAAAUUUGUUCUGCUUCUGUAUUUUAUGCAUGCAGUAAGCGCCCAGUGGUGUUGACUUUGUGGGAUGAUUACGAGGCUAUUGAGAGUCGUGCUAUUGAUGAAUUAAUGGCGUCCAUGCCGAUUAUUAUUGCUGUGACGGUCAAGGUUACCACGCAGAAUUGUACGAUUUCCUGUCCGCUGUUCUUUUCCCUCCCCUGUGUGGUUUCUUUCCUUAGCUGUGCUUUUUUGUUCUAUUUUUCCAAACCUAUCUCUCUCAACUCAGCCAUCCUCUGUUAUCAAGGUUGCUCCUGCUAUUCUUGAAGCAAAAAAAUUUGAUGAUUGGUAGCCAUUGUCUAUUUAUUUAUUUUGCUUUUCUAUCUUUUUAUGAACUUAUUCGUAUGCACAAAGCUACUUUGUUCGUGUAGGUCUAAUGCUAAUAUAGCAGAGCUAGUUCGUAUGGUUUUUGAUGAUAAGGCCUACCGUGAUCCGUGCAUUCUGUUGCCCCCUGUUUGUGACGUGACGCUAACAAUGAUCUCUAAUCUUGUAUCCGAGUCUAGAUCCGUUACUGUCGGGGUAUUGCGAUUUUUUACUCCUUUUAUCAUGCUUAUUCUGUUAAUGCCUUUGUUUACAUUCUUUUUUGGCCCCUGCUCAGCUACGCUUUUGUUGUUUCUAGAACUAGGGAACUUUUUGGAUUAAGGGUCGUGUUGAAAUUGCAAGGCCUUCGGCUCGAUUUUGGCAUAUGGCCUAUCCCCACUGUUAUGAACUGUAUGAAUUUUCGUUCACUUUGGGGAUCAUAUGCCUGAAUUGUGGUCAGGGAAUGCAUGAGUUUCCUAGGUGAUUUCUUAAUCUGUUGCCUUUGUGUAUGUUUCUAUGUUAUUAAUAUGCAGUUCCUUGUACUCAUGUUUUAGCCUUGUUGCAUAUCAUGUGUUGUCUGAUAGGGCAUGGGUUCGUCUUAUGGUGUUUGACAGUACUGGUUACGUUAAUGUUUUUGCCUUGGGCCUAGAAGCUGAGAAACUUAUCGGCCUAAGUGCUGCUGAUAUGUAUCGCGUUUCUGAGCAUGAGGUGAUGUUUGUUUAGGUUUAUUGGUGUUAUUCUUCUAUUUUCAGGAGUUCAUGGCUUUGCUUUUACUGUCCAUUUUAUUUAUUCGCUCAACUUUAUAGCAUAUUGAUUUUAUACAGACUUUUGAAAUUUCGAAACGUGUGUCUCGUCAUCUUGAUGGAAAGGAACUACUGUGUUACCUUAAACAUUCGCCCAGGAUGAUCAGAACAAAAACAUUUACUCGCUACACUAUUGUUGCUUGUUACCCUGUUUCCAGAAGUGCCUUUUCUCAGCACAUACCUUUUGGAGAUAGUGUUUAGCUUAUUAUCUUAAUUGGCACCCUUGUAGCUUGUUGCGUUGCUUCAUCUUAUGUUUGUAUUUCAUGGUUGGGUUUUGCUGUUUUUAGUUGUUGGAUUUACAGCUUGUGGCCGUGUAAUGGGAAUAGCCGUCUUGCUGGGUAUUUCUUGUCUGUUAAGCCUUAUGGUUUGUAAUGAAUGGAUUUUAUUUUAAUGGAUGUUUGUGGUGGUUUUAUUGUGGCUUUGUUUAAUUAUGCUUCCUGAUGUUGUUAUAUGCAUGUUGAGCUGCUCUGGCUCUUCCAUGGAAUCCAAUAGAUUCCAUUAAUUUUAUGAUUCGAAAUGUUUUUUUGUACAACAGGCGUAUGCAUGUGUUUGGACAUUAAACAGGUUCGACCAAAUGUUAGUUUAUGUAUUCACAGACUUAUGUGUGUGCCUGCAAUUCAUUUUUUGUACUUUUCCCUUCCAGCCCUUGCUCUUGCUAGCACAGCUGACGUAUUUUCCCUUGAACCCCCCCGAAUGAGUUCUGUGCCUUGCGUUUUCUCCAUAUUUCUUACACUUGCUGAUUACUUUUCCCAAGUGGUUUGCCAAUUAACUUGCUGACCUAUGCUCCAUUUUCCUACCACCCCGCCUCCCUUUCAGAUUUGAAUAACACUUUUGUCCUUGCUAACCCAUUCAUGUGGAUUCGUUUUCAUGCUCCUGCGCACGUAAUCAAUUGACUUGUGAGACGUGGGAAGACCUUAUGCACCCUUGGUGCCGUAUGACUAGAGCUUAUGCACCCUUAGUGCCGCGAAUUCAGAAUUUAUGUGUUACGUUACUAAAGUCCGGCUUAUUGAUACAUUUUUUCUUAACCGCUAUAAAGCACCACUGUCUGGUUUUCAUACUUCUACGUUAUUUUGCUUGGUUUGCCUUUCUAUUGACCCUCCCUUUUUUUCCUUCCUUGUUCAUUCUACCUGUGAUAAGUAUACAGACCUCGAAGCAAAAAAAAUCACCGUAUAAGAACCUCUAAAAGUUUAUUUCUGUGCCGUUAUAGGCGUGAAUGCAGUGCCUUCUUAUUGAUACCUCUAUAUUCAAUGGACCUUCUUACACUUUUUCCCCCCUCGUUGUUUGGCUCCUUAUUAGCUUAUAUCAAGCGGUAUCGUAUAUAUACUUUACCUGUAACGUUUUGCCCAUAGAAUUUUUUAUAUUGUCUGCCCUGCAAUUUUUGCCUAAUCGUUGUUUCAUCUGGGAUAACUUUUUAUCCGAACAAACAAAUUUUUUACUCUUUUCUAUCCUGCCUAUAAUUUCUCGUACAUGUUUGUACUUUUGUCGAAAAAAUAAACAUAUACAUUUUCCGUCACCAUCUUUGUUUGCUAUCUGAACUCUAUAUCAAUCUAAUUACCUUUCAUCACUACUUUUUUCCCCAUAUUUUUUGGUGGUAGUUAUAGAAGUGUCUUUUUUUAGGUUCACUUAGUAUUGCCCCUUAUGUCUAACCUUUGCUUGACAGCUAAAUUUUUUUAUUCUUUCUUAGAAUGCAAUAUCCUUUAUUUUGCUUUAUACUAAAUCUUUUUCUGUCCAUUGAAUUUAUUACUUCUAAUAAGAAUAGCUAUUACUUUUUCGCUUGCACAUUUUUGUAUUCUGCUGGUAUUAUUGUCAGCUAUUUUUACAUUUCGUCUGUUCCUUGUAAAUAACUUUCCUCUUGCGGAUGCGUCUGGUUUCACUUUAGUUAAGACUACUGUGAAUCUUUCCCUUGUCAGAACCUUUUAAAUGUAUAUGCUGCUGGUUGUCUCUAUCUCGAUUUUAUCCAGGUCCUCUGUUAUCGAAACUUAGCAAUUUUUGUGCUAUCUCAGUAUCCGUGUGAUCAACAAAACCCAGUCGCUUACAAUCUUUUAGACUAUGGAACAGAUCCGUUCUUCCUCGGUUAUCUUUUCAAAAUUACUGCUCCCUUCUCCAAUGCUGCAGCAUUGUCCGUUCACAUCAUCUCCUUUUCUUGGUUGAUGUGUUUCUGCUCCUUCAAAUUUUUUUCUCAUCUUACGUUUUCUUUUGUUUAUCGCGUGUUUUUCCUUGGUUGUCCUCUUCCAUUGUAUUCUUACCCCUGGUGCCUUGCUAGGAACAUCUGUCCUCUGUGUUAAGCUUUCCAGGUAUUUUUUUGAGUUCACCUCUUACUGUUUGUUCUUUAUUUGUAUGCGCUGCACUAGCAUUUUUGCAUAGCCAAGCUCGUGUUAUCUUGCACACCAUGUGUUUGUUAGCUGCAUGUAAUGCGUAAGGUUGACUGCUAUAGCAUUUUUUUGACAUGCACGUUACCAUUGUACCAAAGAACAUAUGUUUUCUGUCUUUAAGUUAACUUGCUCUUUUUUCCUGCCGGCUUUCCCUUUAACUGCCCUUGCCUUCAACCUUCAUUGACUACUUUGCUCUCAGAUAAACUUAUCCAUUUGUAAUCCAUUAGGCUUUUUCCGCAGCAUUGUCUAUUCUGUUUUCAUUUUUUUGUCUUUCUCGAAGCGUUCCAGCUUUGACUGAACUAUAUUUGCUCUCCUUUCAAGUUAUCUGGUUCUUUUUGGCAGGAAUUUCUCCUUCAAUUGCGCUUUCCUUGAACCUGCAUUCGGCCUUUGUUUCCAGGUAACCUUCUACAUCUACAGAGCAUUUUUUCCCUGUUGUUACUCUCCUGAUCUUUGCAUCUUGAAGGUUGUGUUUCCCACAAUUUUUAUUAUUCUUCUUAGCCACCCUUUUGUUAUUUUUUCUUUUCAUGCCAUUGGUUUCUACUUUGUUUUUCCUGUUCUUCUCUACCUUUUUCUUUUAACAUGCUUACCAUCUGUUGCAAAUUUUUUGUCCAUGUUAUGGCAUUGUUUGCGUUUUUUUUUUUGCGAUUAAGUAUUGAUCUCAAUGCCUUUUAUGUUCAUCGUCAUAUAGCAUUUGUUUUGGAUUGAAUGGAUUAUAACUUAAAACGGCGUAUGCGAUAUGCUGCUAUGGAUCAAGAGAAGAAGGAUGCAUUAAAUCGCCGUAGGAGAGCUUCGUAUGCUGCGAAAAGACAGAGUUGUCCUGUUGCUCCCACCCUUGCUGUGCGACAGUUAGAAAAACAAAAUUCUAAGCCUAGCCAUUGUUCAGAUAGCUCAGGCAGAAAUAGGUCUAUACCUGAUACGGAUGCUCAGAAUAUAAUCGAUAGUGAUGCAUUAGCUGAAGCGUUUGAUGGUAUUUCUGAGCAACUGGCUUCUGAUAUGAGAAGCCAAAACUUACCUCCUGAAGGCUCGUUACCUAUCAGUUCUUCUACCGUACCUUCACCGCUAGGAGGUAUAUUGUUUCUGAGAUUAGAUUCGUGAGCUAUAGAGCCUCUUUCCUUUUCUUAUUAUCCAUUGCUAGUACUGUUAUAUCUUUAUUUAUCCCUCCAGCCAAAUACUGAUUGGGGCCGCUCUAUGCAUCACUUCUUUCUAACCCCUUACAUAGAUUUCUUUGUUCUUACUUCUUCACUAAUUUAUAACUCACUCUCUCGUGCACUACUGUUUUUCUUCGUUGUCUCUUACACCAAAAUUCCCCAUAGUUGCUCCCAAAUCGUCACUUCUUUUGUUUAUUUGUGUUCUGGUUAGUUUAGCUAAGGUUGGUGUCUUAUUUUUUUUUUUAAAGUUCUUGCCAUGGUGCCUGUUGAAGAGGGUACCUGUGUGCUUGAAUUUGAUAACUCUAGACUUUCUGAAUCUUCAAACAAUCCACAGAUCGUUGUUAAUACACGAGUUGAGGGUGAAGGUUAGUGAUGGAUAAUCUAACUUCUUUAUAUAUGUCUGAGAGUAAGCUUUUGCUGUAUUUUCUCUCGGCUGGAUAGGGUGAUAUAUUUCUUUGUAUUGUCUUGGGAAAAAGGAAAAGGCUUAGAAUCACAAAUUCUUCCCGCUUGAACAAAGUACCAACAAAGCCUCUUGUCCUACCCAAUGUUCCUGACUGUGAGUAUUUUGGUGCAAAGAGGUUUACCUUGGAACCCCCCAAAUUUUGUUGUCGCGGCGGGGAGAUUUCUGUUGUUUGUCCAACGAUGCCUUACGAGCUCUUUCGUCUUUACUCUGGUACUGACGAGGACUUUGAUGAGUUUCGAAAAUGGGUUCGAACCUAUAACAAUAAUUUGGCCUUCACAUCGUUUGGCGCCAAAUAUGAUCGUGCCUUAACAAAAAAUACUAAGGGUGUUUAUACUUUUCGGGUGUAAGGCUAGGUGUACCACUUAUUGAACAGUUUGGUCUCCUAAUGAUCAAGCUACUCGUGUCCAGCUAUAUUUCUAUGAUCAAGAAGAGGAGUUAUCAAAAAGAGUGGCUGGUUCGCCUAGGCUACGUGAAAGCACCCUCAAAUUAUUGAUGCGUAUUCUAGAGGCUAAUCCAUACACUAAAUUUUUCAAAGAUCUUCGAGAUGUUCAUGAUCUAGACAAUCAUAGGAUUGUUCCCAACUUGGAUCCUCAGCUGGAUCAACGUGUAUAUAAUUUGCCUGCUUCACCCAAGUUGCUGCCAUUAGGACAGAAAAUGAGGAUGAAGCGCUUGAAAAAGGCGCUCAUAUUCAGGUUUAUACAUACUCAAAUGUGCCUCAUAGGAUACCGCAUUAUUUUGCAUGUUACGAUCCGUUAUAGUACCCUCUCUUAUUCCUCGGGGCAAACCUAGUUGGCAUUAUGGCAUCCAAAAAGUACCGAUCCCAAUGAAGGAAAUAAAGAGGUUGACAAUGAUGAUGAUGUCGUGCCUAAUUUUUCCUUAAUUGGGAGUGCAUCAGACUUGAUUCAACAGGAACACGAAGGCAAGUCUUCUUAGUUUGUUCCUGAAAUUUCUCCCCCUUGUCACCCCCGUGUUAUAUAGAGUGUUAGAUAACUCUGUUAUCCUACUUUUUCCUUGUUUGUGCUUGGUGUGUAGCUGCUGAAGGUGGGAAAAAAUAGCGUGAUACUAUUUCUGCAAGAGAGUACUACUGUUACUUACUUCAGAUGAGAGAAAAUGAUAGAUCAAUGGUGUUGCACACAAGGAGACUGCUAUAGCAAUUUGCUGUUGAUAUUUACGUGAAGAUAGAAACGUCUAGGCUUGACUUCCAUAGAAAGAACCAAACUAAUAUUAGGACCGAGAUUUUACAAGGUGUAAUGGAUAGUCUAUCUGUUGGCUAGACUGAAGGAGAAAGUGUUGGUCGUCGAGUUUAUCUCCCAGCUUCUUUCAUUGGUGGUCCAAGGGACAUGCACCGCAGAUAUGUUGAUGCGAUGGCGUUAGACCAGAAAUUUGGUAGGCCUGAUCUUUUUAUUACCACGACAUGUAAUACGCAGUGGAGAGAAAUCCAAGAAAAUCUAAAAUAUGGAGAUGAUGCAUAGGAUCGGCCUGAUUUAGUGUCAAGAGUCUUUAGAGCAAAGUUUGAGCUACUCAAGACUGAAAUAGUGAAGAAAAAGAUUUUUGAGGAGGUUGCUGCCUGUGUUCAUGUGAUUGAGUUCCAAAAAAGGGGUCUCCCUCAUGCUCACCUCUUGAUCAUCCUUAAGCCUGAAUUUAAGCCACUGAACUCUGAUGCUUAUGAUCGUAUUGUGUUUGCUGAGAUUCCAGAUCCACAGAAUCAAAGUUAUUUGUAUAAUCUUGUGCUCAAACAUAUGAUGCAUGGACCAUGUGGAGUUUUGAAUAAGGACAAUGUUUGCCUGAAAGAUGGCCUUUGCAAAAACCAUUAUCCAAAAAAUUUUUGUGAUUUCACAGUCCAUAUUGAGGAUAGCUACCCACACUAUAGAAGGCGAAAUAAUGGUCGAUUUGUAAGGGUGCGUAAUAACACCCUAGACAAUCGAUGGGUUGUGCCAUAUAACCCAUACCUUCUUACUCUCUUUGACUGCCACAUGAACGUCGAAAUUUGUUCGACGGUUAAACUGGUCAAGUAUUUGUAUAAAUAUGUCUAUAAGGGUCACGAUCAUGUUAGCUUCCAUAUUUAUUCAGAAGAUAACACUGACGACAUAGAUGAAAUAAAGAAUAUUCAGACUGGGCGGUGGGUAGCGGCUGCUGAAGCUUUUUGGCGCAUUUAUAGAUUUAAUCUGAAUGAGAUGACUUCUACUGUGUAUACUCUUCAGUUGCAUCUUCCAGGUCAGCAAAUGAUCUUUUUUCAUAAAAAUACGAAUCUUGUUGACCUCUUAGAUCGAGCCGAUUUUCCAAGACAAUGCUGACAGAAUUUUUUCACAUGAAUAAAACCAGCAAAAGAGCUCAAAGUCUUAAAUGCCGAUACCAUGAAUUCCCAGAGGUUUUUGUUUGGAAGCCUACUAGGAAACAGUAGACUGAACGGAAGAGAAAAAGAAUCAUUGGUCGUGUUGUGACUGUUGCUCCAAAUGAGGGAGAACGCUACUACUUACGACUUCUCUUAUCUCACGUUUGUACUCCCACGUGUUUUGAAGAUCUCUUGAUUGUUAAUGGAAAGCUUAUGCUGUCCUAUAGAGAGACUGUCUUCCAAAUGGGAGUGCUUCAAUCUGACGCACAUCUGGAAGACACGCUUAAUAAAGCAGCAGCCUUUCAGAUGUCUUCUUCGUUAAGAACUCUCUUUGCAAUCUUGUUAGCCUAUUGCUUGCCGAGCAAUCCUAAGGUCCUCUGGGAAAGAUAUGAAGCUGAAAUGUCAAGGAAUUUUGAAAGAGAUAAGAGUUUUUCUACUCAGACUGUUGAACAAAUAAGAAGACGUGCUUUGCUGGAUAUAAAUAAAUCCUUCGAACAAAUGGGAAAAAAAUCAAUGACUACCAUUUGGUGCCUGAUGGUUUCGUUCUCGGUCAUGAUGAGCGGCUCACAAGAGAAAUUCAGAGCGAGCUAAGCAUACAGUUUACAGAGCAAGACUUGUUAUUGCCUUCAAAGUUAAAUAUAGGCCAGAGAUUUGCCUAUGACAUUAUUCUGAAUGAAGUUUUCUCUUUUGGAAAUAACUGUUUUUUUGUUGAUGGACCUGGCGGGACUGGUAAGACCUUUCUUUAUCGCUCUAUUCUGACAAUGCUUAGGUCCCAAGGGUUCAUAGCAAUGCCUGUUGCAUCAUCUGGAGUAGCUACAUCUAUUCUUCCAGGAGGGAGGACCGCACACUCAAGGUUUAAAAUCCCGUUAGACAUUUCUACAAGUAAAGUUUGUCAUAUCAGUAAACAGAGCUCUGUUGCUAAGCUUAUUAUGAUGGCUAAAUUAAUUCUAUGGGAUGAGGCUUCUAUGGCCAAGAGGGGCACUAUCGAAGUUUUUGACAAGUUGCUCAAAGAUGUAAUGGAUUCCGAUCUGCCCUUUGGUGGUAAAGUAGUAGUCUUUGGGGGAGACUUUCGGCAAACUUUACCUAUUAUUCAGAAUGCAACAAAGGAUCAGCAAAUAGAGGCCAACUUUGUCAACUCCCCCUUAUGGAGUUCUCUUCGGAAGUUAAUCUUAACUGAAAACAUGAGAGCUAUCUCUGAUAGCCACUUCUCUGAUUUUCUACUUAGGAUAGGUGAAGGUUGCGAACUAGAGGACGCUGAUGGAAAAAUAACUUUAUCCAAUGAUAUAUCAAUCCCGUUUGAUAACAAAGAAGAUUCACUAAACAGGUGAAAAAUACUUUUUCCUUUCAAACUCCGUGCUCCUUUUAUUAUUGGCCAUCAACUUGAUUAAAUGGUCUUAUGUUAACUAAAAUAUUUGUUAACCAGGUUAGUGGAUUUUGAAUUUUCGGAUUUGAGCGUGUAUUCAUCUGAUCCAUACCAGAUCACAAACAGAUGUAUUCUUACUCCAAAGAAUACAUGUGUCGAUGAUAUAAAUGAGAUGAUGAUUGAUCGCUUUCCUGAUAACCUUUUGUGUACAUGAGCACUGAUCGAACUAUUAAUGAGAGAGACCAAUCCGACUACGAAGACUUUGUAAACUCUUUGAAUCCCAAGGGUCUGCCCCCUUAUAAACUGGUGCUAAAAGAAAGUUGCCCUGUUAUUCCCCUUAGGAAUUUAAAUCCUACGGAAGGCUUAAGCAAUGGAAUACGGCUUAUAUGUAGACAGCUAAAGCAGCAUGCCGUUUGGGUAGAGAUUGCUGUUGGUCAACAUCGAGGAAAAAAGGUUCUUUUGCCAAGGAUUCCUCUCCAAACAUCAGACAAUGAAAAGAAUGGGGUUCCUUUUAAGCGAACCCAGUUUCCCAUUUGACUUUGCUUUGCUAUGACGAUUAACAAGUCACAAGGACAAACCUUGGAUCGUGUUAGAGUUUAUUUACGAGAACCUGUGUUCUCACACGGCCAGCUAUAUGUUGCACUGUCUCAUGCUAGAACAUCAUCUUCUGUUAGAGUUUUAAUAUUACCAGCAAUAUUUAAUGAUAUUGUAACUGAAUUCAAGACAAGAAAUAUUGUAUUCCAUGAAAUUUUUUGUUUGUCUCAGAAAUAAAUGUUACGUUUUGAGAUCUACAUAGUUCUCGUGUGUGACUGUAAUAUUAUAUGAAUUAUCCUUUUGUGCAGCCCCUUUUGUGCCCUUAUUCUUUAUCUUGACAGAUUUGCUUGUUUUAUUUCCUUGCUUAUUCCAGCAUGGCAAAUACAUUGUAUAUUGAUGAUAUUGUGCCUGGAUGAAGUCUUGGAUAGCUGAAGUAAUAGUUCAGGAAAAGUUGAAUCUAGGCUCUUCGACUUCCACACCAACUAGAUUCUAAAGACUUAUUUUUGUCGACUCAAAGGUAUAUUUCUACUCACUGUCUUUCAGCCUAAGUUGACUAUUGUCUUUGUUCGCCCUUAAUCAGUAUCACUAUAUGUUUUCUUUAUAAUUUGUCAAUCUCUGAUUAUAUAAGUUAGCCUUUGACACAGGGUUCAAGAAUUCAGGGAAUUCUUUUUAACUAUGCUAUUGAAAAGAUGGGGCCAAAGUUGCAGCUUUACAAGAAAUAUCGUAUCUCAAAUGUUGAAGUGAAGACAAUUCCUGAAAAAUUUAGGACUGAUGGUAUUGAGCUGCAAUGGGUUAUAGGGACGCAAACUGGUGUUUAGGAAAUUGAAGGUGAAGAAAAUAAUGUCUUGCCGCUUCAAUUCACACUCACACCCUUUAAGGAAUUUGCUCGCUAUGCAGAUUCGAAGACUGAAACUGUUGGUAAGUUUGCCCUUUGAUCUACUGUUCAUUGGUUCUAUGCUAUAAUUUAUUACUGUCUGAUCCAAACUAUUGGCUAAUAAAUUUGUAUACUUACAUUUGUGCUGAUUUGCCUGCCUUUACUACUAUCUUUGUUCAAAUUACAGAUGUUCUUGGUAUUGUUAUUGAUGUCCUUUCUGUCAUCCCAAUCAACAAAGACUCAAGGGAAUCAUUUGUGCAGAGAUUUGUUAUUAUCAAUGAGGAGUAUGAACUGCUUUUUCCCAGUUAUUUUCUGUUUUGCGCUCCAUACUGUUAUGUCCUCAAACUUAUGUACUAUGAAAAUAGCUUAAAAGGUUGCAUUUUGCUAUUUGUUAUAUAGGAUGAAUCCGAUCAUUUUAUCUCUUUGGAAUAGUUUCAUUGAAAAUGAGGGUAAGGUUAUCACUGAACAGAAGGACAAGUGUCCAGUUGUGAUAGGUCGCAGGCUCAAGGUUGUUACUUAUGGAGGUAAGACCUAAUAGAGGUUAGGUUCUUGAUUAUUUAAUUCUAUGUGUGUUAACGAUUCCUGUUCUAAUUGUAUCUACCUAUCAAGAAUUGCCUUAUCAAUGAGGAAUGAUUCGGUUAUUCUUGUCAAUCCACCAGUUAGAGACGCCAAACAACUCAAACACUGGUGCGCAAUGUUUAUUGUUUCCUUUUCCUUUCCUUUUUUUUGUUUUUGUUUUUUGGUUGGGAUGAACUACUUGACGUUCACUGCUUUCUUUAUUGAGCUGGUGAAAUUUAUAGGGCUGUCAGAAAUGAAAAAAGUUUCUCUGCUCUUGUUCAAUACAAGUCAUACAGCAAUUAUAGUCCCAGAAUGUUUUAUGAUCGAAACCACAAAAUUACCUCGCUUGUGGAUCUUACACCAGCUCAAAAGGUCAUAACUUGUUUACUGUUGGAUUCGAUUCUUUAAAUGAUGCACCUGUGUUUUUUUCUUGAUCUGCUUAUACAUUUAUAUACACCUAAAUCUUCCUAUAAUCUGUUUACAAACUUCUGCAGAUGUCAUGGGUUAACGCUUGCUUUUCUUUUGAACAUAUACUGCAAAAGUAUUGGUAUAUGUCUUGUAUCAAAUGUUGCUGAAUGACAUCAGCAAACUAUGAUUCAGUUUAUACAUGCAACCACUGUAAUGAGAAACAGAAAACUGUACCAAGGAAAUUUCCCCUUUGUUCAUGAACUAUCAUUGUUCUACAUAACACUGCUUUUGUUGAAUUUAUUGACUUAUUUCUAAAGUUCAUAUUCAUGCAGAUGUCAUUUUGAUGUUGAUCUUACUGAUGAAACUGACACGGUCACAGCUUCAAUAUUUGGUGAGCUUGCCGAAUCACUACUUAGAUUCACUGCACUCGAGGCUUUGAAAUGCUAUAACAAGGUCGGAAGUACAAGUAGCUUUGACUAGCUGUGUAUUUUAUACAUACAGAAUAUCAUGCUAAUGUAGGUUUCUGGAAUUAUUUAACAGAAUGAAGCACUUCUGCUGGAGAAUAUACAUAGACAAUUUAAAGAAAAGAUGUUCAUUGCCCAGCUGAAACCAGGAAAUACGAAGGAUGGCAGUGGAAAUCACCGCUACACAGUUGCUUAUUACUUUGAAGAAAAUGCAGCAACAUCUUCGUUCAACAAAGAUUCCUGCAUCAGUGUUCAAAAUCAGUUUAUCCAAGCUAAACAACAAAACUCAGAAGCUGGUUCUUCAGGUUCUUUUUUUAACAAGCAUGCUUUCCAUUCCUCUUGUUCGCUUUCUUAGCAUUGCUCGCUUUUUCGUUCUAGAGGGACAAGAACCUUCUUCGAAACGACGAGUUCGUCUCACAAGAAGGUUUAGAGAUGCUGGAGAAAUGGAAGAAGAACCUACACAGGUCGAUGACUCUGGCAGCACCAUGAAAACAAAACUUGUCUGAUCUUUCCUUAUCUAUGCUCCUCUUUUGAGUUGCAUUAGUGAUGCUGCGAAUCUUUUGACUACUGCCGAGAAUAGACAUGCUUGACUGGAUGCGAAGCUUGUGUUUUGCUGAACUUAUAUAUCUGCUAUGCGUUCCAUUUAGAUGUUUUUGCUUGGAAUUGAUGCUUUGGUUAUCAUGGCUGCCUAUUGUCAGAAAUGGAUUUUAUACCAUGUAACUCCCAAUUACUUAUCAUCAUUUGGUAUAUUUAUCUAUUUAGUUAUCAAAGCACCUGACUUUUGGAACCAAAUUGCACAUUCAUUGCCAUGCUUCUGUUUGUGUAAUGAACUGAUCUAUCAAGUUGCUGCACAAUUUUCCAGCUAAGAAUACUGUCAAAUAGAUCAAUUUCAGAAUUGCAACCAUCUUUAUAGAUGUCAUCUUUUUCUUUUGCAGCAUACCAAAUUUCCUUUUCUCUUCAUACUUACUUAUAGUGAUAGAUUUUAGGAUAUCUCAUACUCUUAGUAUUUAAUCCAACCACGCAUUCGCCGUUUAUGUAAACCCUUCUUAGACCUGUCUAAAUGGGCAUGCAUGCUGGUUAUUCCAUCGCGCAACGCCACGGUUAUUCUUCCUAGUUUGUUCAAAGUGUGAAUGCAUGCCACCACACAUAUCUUUCUCCCAUUUUAUAUAUUGGAUACUUAGUAUCUUUAAGUUUAAGUUGUAGUAAUAAAUCAAAUCAUAUGCUUCCAUUUCUUCUUUUAUUCCUAUGAUUGAAUGACGGCAUGUAAGGAAUACUUCCAUACAAGGAUUGGAAGAAAACCCAUUAUAGUUAGAUUUUUUAACGUUGCAAAUGUUAAGAGAAGGCAAUUGACAGGGAAGUAGUAUUGCAAACAAAAUAGAAGUCUAAAGAAAAGGAGAUUGGCAUGAACAAAAGAGGUGAUUGAAGAGAUGAGGCAACAAUCAAUAGCGAAAUGAUAUCCAUGAGGCUUAAGGUAUGAGAAAAGCAAUUAGUACUAUGAUAUAGUUGGUACAAAAGUAGGAUAAAAGAAAUGUAAAUAUGCAUAUAUAGGUUCAUUUGUAAGCAUAAAUCUUUUUGAUGCACAACAAUUAUCCGCCAAUUAGAAUUGUUAUUCUAUUCUUAUUUAAUUCAUUUAAUGUAAUGAUUGUUUUGAUUUUUUCUUUACUGAUUAUUCAUUGUUUUCCCCAACAUUGAGCAUAUAUAAAACCUACGAAACCACCCUUUUAAUUCAAAUAUUUCAAAUAUAUGAAUUCAAAAUAAAUAGAUGCUUUCUCUAUUAUCAUUAAUGCAGAAAGAAUUUAGAGCAAUUUUAGAAUUAUAUAAAUUAGGCAAUUCUAGUACUACAAAUUUAAUUUAGCAAGAUCUCAUUUUACUCUAGUAUCUAAUAUAUUGUUGAGCCUUAUUAAAUGCACUUUUUCCUCCUAUGAUAUUUAAUAAGAGCAUGAUGAUAAGUAGAUUUAUGCAUAUCAAAAAUUAAACUAUUCCCAUACCCCAUUCAAUAUCAUAUUUUAUGUGUUACAAUAAAAUUGUAUUAUUUUAUUUUGCAAUAAAGUAGACUAAUUCUAUACCAUCUUAACCUAUUCUCAUGUAAUGCAAACACAAUAAGUAAAAAAUAUUAAAUUUAGCAUGCAAUGCAUGUAUCAAGUUGUAUAAACACUCAGGCAUGAUGAAAAGUAUAGUACAGUAAAACCUCUAAAAAUUAAUAAUUUUGAGACCAUUCAAAUUCUAUUAAUUUAAAGAAGUAUUAAUUAAUUGAUAAGUCAAUAAUUUAUUAAUUUAUCGAAUGUACUAACAAUUGAAAGAGACAUUUAUUUAAUUAACUAAACUUUUAUUUUAUUUUAUUUUAUUUUAUAAAAUAUGAAUUAUUCUAUUAAUAAAAGGAGGCUAAAAGUUUAAGAAAUAUGAAACAGUCCAUAUCUUCUUGAUUAAAAAGAUUUAGGAAUUCUAAAUGAUAUAUGUUCAUUUCUAUUUGGGAUAAUUUCAGAAACCUCCCCUGAGGUUUCUGACAGUCUCAAAGACCUCCCCUGAUAUUUUGAAAAUCCCUUAUACCUCCCCUAAAACUAAGUAGAAAGUAUCAGAUUCAACUCAAUUGAGGUGGACAAUGAAUAUAAAAUGUGUUUUAGGAGAGAGAAAAUAAAGAAAUUCCACCUCUGCCCUCAAGAUUGUCAUUAGUGAGGGUGUUUAGGUUGAAAAUUUCAAUGGAAUCUAGUUCCUUUGAAAUUUCAGGGGGUGUAUGUGAAACUUAUAGAAAAAGGUAAGGAUGUAUUGCAAGAAAUUGUGUUCUACUUCAUGCCAACAGCUCUCAAAGCAGUUCUUUGUAACGGUAAAAAGAAACAGUCAUGUUGCUUUGGAGCUCUAUAUAAUUGCCUACUGGAGUUGCAAGAGAAAGCAUUGGAUGUUGUUGGGUUGUGGCUGAGGUUCUGCAAAAGUGCUCAUACAAGUAUAAGCUGAAAUACCUACAAACAGAUACACAUGGCUUCUUCAAGCCUGGUAGAUUCAUCAUGGAAUUCUCCAACUUCAUUUUCAAUAAGAUAUAAAUAUUGCCAUUGUCAUCGGAAAGCAAGCAUUAAGAUUUCUGAGAGCAGGAGGAAUCCAAACAAGCUCUAUUUCGGUUGCUCAAAUUGCAAAUUCUUUCAGUGGUUCGAAGGGCCUGAAGAAGGUGAAGUGAGCAGCCAAAGAAGAGAUCAACGUUCAAGCAUGCAAAAGGAGGAUCAAAUAUAGUUUGUCAAAGUAGAGCAGUCGAACUCCAUUGUGAAAUGGCUGCUUAUAAUGAAACUGUUAUUCAUAGCUAUUUACAUUUUGUUGUUGAUAUUGUUUCAGUGGGUUGAAGGGUCUGAAGAUGGUGAAGUGAGCAGGCAAAGAGCAGAAGGACAUUCAAUCAUGCAAAGAGGUGAUCAAGUGCAGAAUUUGAAUGCUGUCAAGUUUAACUCCAUAGUGAAAUUGAUGCUUAUAAUGAACCUAGUAUUUUUAGCUGCCUAUGUUGUUAUGUUGAUUGUAAAAGAGAUCAAAUAAGUAUUGAUUCAUAAUAGUAAAGAACCAGAUUCAUUAUCAUGUGCUUCCAGUUUUGCUUAUUGAAUACCACAAAUCCUCAUAUUACACAAAAACACAGUGUAUAAGUAAUAGUGCAAAUGAAACUUCAGUUUCUGUUGAGAAGCUUUUCAUACUACUUAGUUGUAGCGAUGAGUGGGGUGGAAUUUAUAUGUACAAUAGCCAAAUAUUUCCACUAAUGCAUCUAGGUUGAUACAAAAGAUAAAUUUUUCCAAAAUAUCAAAUAUCAAAUGUUCAGAUACCAAAAUGAGAUCACCAAGACAUCAGAUAUUGUCAUUUCUCCAAUGUCGACAACUAAUGAUCAAAUAUUCAUGUCCUCUAAUAUCCAAAUAAUAAAAGACUCUUAAUCAGAUUCUACCAAAAGGUGAAGCUGCUACUGACAUUGUGAGAAUCAUGAGAAACUGAAGCAUUGAUGUUGACAUCAGUUUGUACUUGGGCAGUUCCACUGGGAUGUAGUGCAGCAGUAUGCAUUACUGCAAUUGGUUGAGGUACUGCUGUUGAAGUUUUCCUUUUGCGGUUAUAUACAGCAGAUGGAGCAGAUUUGUUGGAAGGUCGUCCUCUCUGAAAUUUUGGUCGAAUUUUGUAUUAAUAUACAGGCAUGUAAAUAAGCAUUAAAAGUGCAGCUAUGAUGUAAAAGGAAUUAAGGAACAAAUACCUUUCUCUUAGUAGCAUUGGUUGCUGUUUGGAAAUUCAAGUCAACAUUCAUUAAUGGUGAUUGAAUUGAUGGACUUGGGUUGCUGCCUUGACUAGAAACGACAAUAGGCACAUUGCCAUCAACAUGAUCCUGCACAAAUCACCCAUGCAUUAGCUCAUCAGACAUUGUCAUCAUACGAAAAGUAUGUAUGUGAAUCUAAAAGAAUUGUAACCCAUAGAACAGAUCCUGCAAGACUUGUAUUUGCAAUUCCCCUUCCUGGCUUCCCUCUAGCAAAUUGAGUAACCUGACAUGAAAAUUGAUAAUAGAUUGCAAGCUCGCUUAGCAAUUUCAAUGCUGUCAACAAAAACACUAGACUGAACUUUUGUGCCACCUGUGCUUGUACUCUUUUGUCUCAUAGGUGCUCUUUGACAUGUUCUAGUAUUAUGUCCAGUAGCUUUGCAGUUGCCACAUCUCAUAGUGAUUGACCUUUUGGCUUGAGAUUGGCUUGGCUCAUCAGGCUCUCUCCUUCUAUUAACUCUUGGACGACCUGGAGCUCUUCUUAAUAGUGGUGGAAGGACAGUUCUUGGUGUGACAUCAAUUAAUGGAGGCCAUAUCUUCUCGUGAGGAAUUGGAUGUAUCAUGCCACUGUAUGUCUUAAAAUACAUUUCUGUUGAGAAGCAAGGAUCACAGUAUGUCUCCAAUUUCUGUCUUUUGUAUAUAAUUCCAAGUGCAGCAUGCUUGCAUGGGAGUCCAGAUAAUUGGAAAGCUCCACAGUCACAUGUCUUCUGGUUCAAACUCACUAUAAAUGUUUUGUCACCAUCAGAAACUUCAAACAAAUCUUCACUGGCCAUCUGCAAUGAACAUCUCCUAGAAUGUAUUGCAACUUUCUUGAGCUUUUCUAUGAUGUUUUUUAGGAUAGCAGACGUCCAUGUGCAAGCCUUCUGGUAUCUUUUGUGUAAUUUCUUCAUAAAUUUUUUCCUUAGGCCUUCAACAAGUGUCAGUAUUGGUUGGCCCCUUAAGUCUCCAAUCCAAGCAUUGAAGGAUUCCGUGAAGUUAUUUGUGACAUGAUCACAUUUCAUUUCUGUUGAGAAUGCAUGUCUAGCCCAAGCAGAAACUGGAAUCUUGGAUAAGUACCUCCAUGCUUCUAUAUUCAUGUCCUUGAUUCUCUGCAUUGUUUCAUUAAAUCCAAUUGCAUCAUAACUCUUAGUAGCUUACCAAAGAAAGUAGUCAGUAACAUUCCAGGAAACUGAGACUUGAAGUUCAUGCAAAUAUGUCUGCAACAGUAUCUUCCAAUUGCAGAUGGCAGCAGCUGUUCAUAUGCAAUGUUCAGCCCCUACAUCAAAAUCAAAAAUCAGUCAGCAUUUUUUACCAUAUCUACACAGUAGGUUGUCCAAACUUUAACACGUUUAGUGUUUAAUAAUACCUUUUGUCUAUCACUCAUGACAGUUAAGGGAGAAUUGUUAUGGAAUGGUCCAAAGAAUUCUUCAAAGAAAUGAAAGAACCAACUCCAAGUCUCUCUAUUUUCUACCUUAAAAAUAGCAAAUGCAAUGGGAAAUAUGCUGUUAUUAGCAUCCAAUGCAACAGCAGUUAGCAAUACUCCACCAAAACUACCUUUCAAAUGACAUCCAUCAAAUCCAACAAAGGAUCUACAACCAGCUAAAAAUCUAUCUUUCUGUCCUUUAAAGCUAAUAAAAAGUUUCAGGAACCUUGGUUCAACUAGUAGAUUUGGUUUGUCAUAAUGAAUCUUACAAACACUAUCAGGAUUAUGUUGCCUUAGAAGCACAACAUAUUUUGGCAGUUUACUAUAUGAUUCUGAAUGUUUGCCUUCAAUCUCUUCUCUUGCUUUUUGUUUGGCUCUAUACACUUGCUGUUUGCUAGGAUGCACACCAUAUUUUAGCAUCUCAGCUUCAAUGCCCUUUCUUGAUAAGUGAGGAUGGGUUCUCAUCACAGCUAGCAGUUUCUUGGCCAUCCAGUCAGAGGUGGCCUCACGAUUUUGUUAUCCAUCACACAUGUAUGUUCAGGUGUGUAUGUCUUAAUCAUAAAUAUUAUUGAAUCAGCUACAGGAGACGCAUGAAUCCUCCAUGUACAUCCAGCAACAUCACAGAUUACAGUACACCUGGUUUUCUCAUUCUUCAGUCUUUUGAUGGGAAAUCCUUUUUGGAUCACAUAAUCCUUCAGUGCUGCUCUAAAGGCAUCAACAUUAGUAAAUAGCUGUCCCUUUUUGAAUUCUAUGUCCUCCUUUGGAUUGUAAGUUCACAUCUUGUUUCUUAGCACUUCUCUUAAAAGGUCAAUUUCUUGCUCAGAUUCAGAAUCUGGUACAAUUUCACCAGUUUCAUUAUCCUAAAAGUUUUGAAAAUCUUCAUCACUACUAGAAAUCUCAGACAGAACCAUUAGCUCAUCACCUAUAUCAUCUUCAUUGUCAUCAUCAAAUCCUUGCUUCCAUGAUUCAUCAGAGCUCGAUUCACCCCCAUACCCCUUAUCCUGACUGUCAAUAACAUGAACAUUCUGCUCAUCAUCAGCCAAGGCAUUCUGAAUGUUCUGAAUUUCUAUGCGCUCAUGGUCACCAUCAAACUUUCUGUUCAACAACAUGGCAGGUUGUUCAGCUGGGAUAAUGUCCAUGUUGAACACCUCUACAUUUAUGAUUGUUUGACCUUCAUACACACUAAACAUAUCAUGGACAGCUUCAUCAUCAUUCACAUCAAUGUAAGCUUCUGUUCCAGGUAUUGCACAUCUCAUAUGUACAAGAACAUUAAUAUUUCAAGGCAUUUCAUGUAAUGCCUUCUCGGCAACAUCAUUCAACAGAUUAAUGAAAGAAUAAUUUUGAGGAUUUAUAUUGCGAAUUCGAACUUUUGUCCCUCCACAAUGGAGUACAAUGUCAUGCACAUCACCAGUCACCAUCUUACAAGAUCAGGAUCACCAUUUAUGAACUUCAAUGAAUACAAACAUAUAAUACUAUGACAGAGUAACUCCUCUGACCUCAUGCAAACCACUUUGUAUGAUUCAUAUAAAUAGCACCAUCACAUAUGCAUGAAUACACGUUCUAGUUUAUAACUAUUAUAACCAGAAAUAAUGAAAACACUGUCAGGUGAUCACAUUAAUAACACAAGCAGACACUUAAUCACUAAUGUAGGAAAAUAAGAAGACAUUCUCAGUCUCCACACGGUCAGUAACCUUUUCAUCAGCCAUAAGCUACGUAGUAUCUAACUUUGCUUUGCUUCAGAUGCUCUCAGAACAGCAAUACUUCACCCUUUGCAGCAAUACUUCACCUCAAUUUCUUCGACUCUCCCGCUUCUCCUGGAGCUCUCAAAUGCUCUUCUCAUUCUCAGUAUGGCUCAUGCAAAUAUGUAUUCCUCACCAAAAUUAACGAUCAGUCAGCUAUCAUUGUCACAUCAACAACCAAAUGGGCGCCUAUUUUUGGCGCCUUUUCUCUUAACCGAAAUUAGUAAUUCAUUUUGCAUUCAAAUUGCAGUUAAGUUAGUUAAACACAUGUAUUAGUCAUUUCACUAAUUAAUUCAUGUUAUUAUCAGAAUAUAUUACUUCAACAGCAGGGAUAUUUGUGUCAAUUCAACGUCCUUCAAGUCAUUUUGGGGCCCAACAAUCUGACAGGAGAGGUAUAAGGGAUUUUUGGAACUUCAGGGGAGGUCCUUGAGACUAUCAGAAAUCUCAGGGGAGGUUUCUGAAAUUAUGACUUUCUAUUUUAUUAAGUGCAUAUAAUGAACCAAUUAACAAUAUUACGUAUAAAAAUGAUAAGGAAGUUUUCUUAUAAUAAACAAACACAAAAUCUUCCUACAUAUUUCAUUGUUAAACUAUGGCUUCCCAUCUAAAAGAUAUUCAUAGAUCAACAAUAAAUUCAUAUUUUAGAAAAAUAUGAUAUGUAAUUUUAAUAAAUUAUUAAUUUAUGCUAUGAAUGGGACCAAAUGGUCAUGUAAGGUUUCAAAAAAAUUAUUAUUUUAUUAUUUUGACAAAAUUAUUAAUUUAGCUCAUUAGUCCAAGUUGGCAUCAAAAAAUUAUUAUUUAAUAGAAGUUAUUAAUUUAUAGAGGUUCUACUAUAGGCAUAAAUUAUUUAUUCUUACUCUACCUAGAAAUAGUUUGUUUUACUAAAACUUACUAAAAAGAGCACAAUGUAGUGGAGGAUGAAAAUAAUUGCAAAAUCCCAAACUCUUCUGAAUAAUGGGUAAUCAUUGAAUAAAAAUUUUCAAAAUACAUUGUUUGUCUCCAUGCCAUUCUUGUAUUCUUUUCAACAUUAUAAAAAACCAUCUUUAUUUUCUAUGAAUUGAACAAAAGGGCUUCUUUAUGAAAUAGUUAAAAUCGAUGUCCUCAAAAUCUAAAGUUGAUUCUUUAAAGUUAAAAGUAUUUAAAAAAUAAAAUUUGCAGAUCAUCCAGAAUUCUUGUACUAAAUGUUUUUGCUAUGCUCUAUGAGAUAACUAAGAAAUCAAUUUUGUUAGUAGAAUAUUCUCCUCAUAGUAAACUAUGAUUUCCAAUUCAUUGUUUGAAACAUUUGAUGCAAAAUAAAAGUGAUUUUUUUAAAAAAGUACAAGAAAAAUUACAUUAUAAUUAUGCAAUGUUUUAAUUACUUUUAGUGGUAAAUAUUGUAAUGAUUGUUUUUCUCUUUUUAUAUCCAGUAGCCUAGCUUAUAACAUGGUAUCUUGAGAUUUCAGUGGAAGAUUCUCCUCUUAGCUACUCAUUUUUUUUUUUCAAAUGAAGCAGUUGCACAUAGCUCACUUAUUCCAUCUAAUUUGGUAGCUCUCACUAGGAAAUUUUUAUGAAGUCUUCCUCCUAUUGAUCUCUUUGGAGCGAUUAAGUUCUUUCAAUUAGUAGAAGUUUUGCUCACUGAUUAUAUAUUUUACUUUACUAUUUAUAGCCAAAGUCAUACAUAAACUUCCAAACAUAUUUAGUUUUAGAAUCCUAUUAACUUUCAUGCUUAUCUUGCAAAAUCUUUGACCUGUAAAUAUCAAUACAUUUUUCAUUAUAAGUUGAGCCAACUAGCUUUUGAUUUUGGCAUAUUCCAAAUUAUAGUUCCAAUAAGAUCACUAUUUUGAUCUGGCAAUUAAGAGGUUGAAAUUGUGGGUUCAACACACUAAUUUUAUUUUAUUUUCAGUGUAAACAAACAUUGAUCCCUUGUGGAUGAUGAAUUUAAUCUAGUAUAUUUUAAGCAAUCUCGACAUGAAUUUUGUUGUUUAAAAUUAUAUUUAGAAGAAUACCAGAUGAUCUAUAUAAGAUAGAUAAAAAUGUGAAAAAAUGAAGAUGUCACUGACGUAUUUAAAAAAAAUUAAUUAUACUAGCUAACUACUAGUGAAACAACGUGAGAGUUCAUGUAGUUGAAAGAACUCCUUUUCCUACUAGGCUAUAGAGUCUUUGAAGAAAAAAGAUCAACCAAUAUCAAUAUCAUGUUUCUUUGAUUCACCUAAGAAUCAUGAAGAGAAGAUUGAGAGCGAGCCUUCUGUUGAUAAAAAAUGUUGCAUACUAAGUGAAUUUCAUAAUACUAAACUUCACAAAAGAAAUGGGGCUAUUUGAUGAUCUUGAAACAAGAUCCUAAAGCUUUUUAUUACUCUCUCUAAAUUUGGUUCUAGAUUUUGGCAAUAUAACUCUACUGAUACGACAUUAUAGAGAGAAAAAUUAAUAGCAAAAUCAAAUUUUCUUAGUAAGAAAUGAUCAAAUGCAAAUAGUUAAUUUAAUUGUAAGGAGACUUGUAGAUAUAUUUGAAAUAAAUAUUCCACACUUGUUUCUAGCUUUCAAAAAUUAUGUAUGAUAAAAAUACACCUUCUGAUAUCAAUAUAACCAUCAUCUGAAGUAAAACAAUACCAAAAAUUUUCUGCAUAUUGGUAAAGAUUUGAUCCUAGAUCCAAGUGGACUCAGAACCAAAUCUGGUUCACAUCUUAAGUCAACAAAAACUGACAUUGGAUCACUAGUAAUCUUGACUGGAUCAAAAGUUAGAUGUAGAAAAAACCUAUCUGAUCAUGAUUCGGCUUUAGAUUCAACUUGGUCUACACAAAGAUUUAACCUCAGAUCUUUGGACAAUUUGUUGGUCCUUUGAUUUUCUUUUUUCAAGUCUUAUAUUGUACAAUUCAAGUCUCAUUUUUAUGUUACAUAUUUUAUCUAUACAUUUUUAAGCCUUGUUUAUACAUCUAUAUAUUUCAUGACUAAUUAUUCCAACAAUUCCUUACUAAGUUUGUAAUGAAAUAUCAAACUAACACUAUCAAUUAUUAAGCAUAUAGUAAAUUAUACUUUGAUCUAAACUUUUCUAUUAGUGUAAAUAUGUUACUAAGUCUAACCAAAUCAAGGAGGCUAAUGGCCUUCAAAUAUGAUUUGCAAAUUACACCCGAUAUAUCAUACAUAUUGUAUUAUAAUAUUGAUCAAUUCACAAAGAACUUUAGCACUUUUACCAGUCAUAUGCUGUAUUACAGAUUCAUGAUCAUGUACAAAAGUAAAUACAAACUUUUAUUUGAAACAAUACAACUUUUAUGAUCAUAUAGGUGAAAUUACUCAAAAAUUUUAUAAUGCAAAGCACCAUGAAAGAAUUUACACUUUAUUAAGAGUGAACAUUAAAUAUAUACUCAACCUCUUAAUAACUAUAUACACUAGUAGGAUGGACUAGUACAUAUAAGUAAUAGUACUCGCAAUCACUUAUUAACAAUUUGUUGUUACUUCUUAAACCUAUUUAAUCUAGUAGUAGUACUAGAAGAAAGAUAGAAUUCCUAUGAGAAUGUAUCAAGUGGUUAUUGACUGCCAUAUCACUAGUGUGAAUACCCGUGCUACGCACGUGCUGAUAUUAUUUAAAAAAUAAAAAUAAAAGGGUGAAUUAAAAAAUGUUAAAAAUUUGUACCAACACAAUUAAAAUAUAGUAUCUGUCUAACAAUAGUUUGAAAUAUGAUAGAAUGUGUAUAUUAUUCAAAAUUUACCUUUUUUGGAAGAUAGAUCCUGAAAAAAUAAUAAAAAUUUAUAUUAGAAAAUGAAUGAUAUAUAAAUAAAAAUGAAUGUAAUUAAGUGUUGUUAAAAUGAAAUACUUACGAAUAUUAUGCAUUCGAUUUGAUAAUCUUGUAUGAAGGUGUGAACACUCUUCACACCAAUCAACUUUUAGUACGAAAGUCAAAAUUCGUGAUUUAAUUAAUUCUGUUAAAUUUUGUGGAAUGCGUAUUACAAAUGAAAAUGCACGAUCUUUGCAUGAAUUGAUUCGUUGGUUGAACAACCUAUCACCAUUGUCCUGAGAAUUAAGUACGUGCGAAAUACAAAAUUAGUAUUUUUUUUUACAUAGUUUAUAGAUAGCAUUAUAAAAAAUAAACAUAUAUCAAGAAAUUUUACCUUUUUUUGUAAUUCUCUGAGAUAUGAAGCAUCACAACUACGAACCAUGCAUGUCUGUCCUGUAGAUUAAGAUGCAUGUUACCACUGGAAUCUCUAAUUUGUAUGUUAACAUUAUACUUGUUUGACAAAUAAAAUGUUAUAUACAAUACAAAAAAAUUUGUUGAAAUUAAAGGUACAUGAAAUUAAUUACAUAACAACAGAAUCGACCACGUUAUUACAAUGCAUACACACUAUUUUUGAAAAAUGAUCUUCACAUAGUUGUCCAUAAUUUUUGCAUAACUCAAAGAACAUGUUUUCUAUGUUAAUACUCUGAAUGUAAGCAAGUAUUCGAAAAUAUUUAACCUAGUAAGAAUGAAAGAAGGUAUAGGUUAUGGUUAUAAAUUUAAAAAAUUUGUGCAGUAAUUAAAUUAAAUAGAGUAAGUUUACUGUAUGCAUGAUUGUAUAUUCGGAUAUCCAUAUUCUCUUUGAAUUUGCUAUCAACAAUGCUUGUGAUGUUAUAAAAUUGCUUGACCUCAACCAUGUAACUAACUUUCGAGCACAUAUAUCUUUUUCAAACCUAUAAUUUUUUGAAACAAAUGUUGAUAAGAGUAUGAAACAACAUUAAAAGUUUGAUGUGGUGUUACUGAUGGAACUCACCAACUGCGCAGGUAUCGAACAAAGUCUAAAUUGUGAUUGAUAUACAAUUUGCUAGCUCCAAUUGUACAAAGUGAUGGUCCUGCAUAGUAUGGUUAUAUUUGUUAAAAAACUAUUCAAAUUAUAUAGAAUAUAAGUAAAAGCAUUUGAUUUACCUCUGAAAUUUUGUACACAAAUACCACAUGCUAGUAAAAUAUUAUUUUUUGUAGCAGACUAAUAUUAUAGGAUUUGUAGUAUAUUCAAUAACUUGAUACACAAAUCACUGAUGAGGCAAAAUUUGCCUAAAUAAGUUUUACAGUGUCCUAACUCCUUGCAAAAGAAAAAAGCGCUAAAUAGUCCUAAUUGGCAUCGCAAGUUACGGUAACAUGCCAGUGGCAUCUAGAUCUAAUUUUUUUUUUUGGCUAAAAUCUAGUCCUAAUUGGUUCUGCUGUUUCUUGAUCAUGUCGUAUGCUUCCGAAUUAAAAUUGUAUUAAAAUAGCAUGUGAAUAAGCAUUUGUCUUUAAUUAAGGAGUAAAAAGGAUUUAAAGUAUAAACAACAAACUAUAAACGGUUUAUGAAAUAGAUUAUGAAAAAGUUUUUAAUUUUAAAUUUGACUGGUGAGAGAGUUGGUUAUAACCCACUACUUUUUAUGUAUUAAAAUAAAUACAAAAAUCUAGACAAAAAUCUAUAACUCACUACUUGUUUCGUUCUUGGGAUUUUUUUUAGGGUUAAAUAUAGUAAGUCUCUUAACUUUAAAUUUAGCUGCACUUUACCCCUCAAUUUUACAUUUAGUUGUACAUUUGUGAUUUUUUUGAAACGUGAUUGUAAUUGGCAAAGCUCAUUUGUAGGGGUAGUUAUAGGGUUAGUGUGGUUACAAAUAUUUCUUAAUCAUAAGAAUGUAACAUUGUAUUAAAAUAGCAUACGAAUGAGCAUUUGUCUUUAAUUAAGGAGUAAAAAGGAUUUAAAAUAUAAAUAACAAACUAUAAGUGAUAACAUGAAGUAGAUAGUGGGAAUGUUUUAAAUUUUAAAUUUAAUUGAUGAUAGGAUUGGUUAUAACCCACUACUUUUUAUGUAUUAAAAUAAAUACAAAAAUUUAGAAAAAAGAAUGAGAAGUUUGGAAGCCAUUGAGAGGGUCUCUGCUAAAAACCCCUUCUGCAAUACAUAUAGAUAUAGAUUUUUGACGUGGUGGUUAAAUAAGUAAGAUUUGGAUGUCACGUGUCUAUGUUUGAUUGCUCAAAUCUCUACUCUGAAUAGUCUUUUUUUUUAAUUACUUUUUGUCUUCUUUAAUCAAUGCAAUCUAUACCUCUAUAUCUAUCCAGACUGAUAAAAAUUUAAAAUUAUAAUUUUGAUCUCUAUCUCUUCGUUGUCUAGCAAAAGUUUAGAGUCACAAGUUGAUGAAAUGAUGAAAAAAAUAAUAUUUCAAAUCAUUCUCUGAAUAAGAACUAGGUUUAGGCUUUGGGAAAAAACUCCAAAGUUGUAGUGAUAGUUACAAUACAAAAUGAGAUGAGAAAAAAGAAAGGGACAAAGGAGAAAAUGAAUAUAUCUGCAAAUAAGGAGGAGAGAGUUACAAAACAAAUGAUGGAUGGUAUUCAUUAGUUGGGGUGCCACUCAUAACCUAGUAAACUUCUAAUUGGGUUUGAAAUUUGCAAUAUACCGAUUGUUUUAGUUGAAUUUUGAAACUAAAAUGGAGGUUUGCUUGAUAAUUUGUGUAGAUAUAUGUUUGAAUCUCAAAAGAGUGGCUCAUGACAUUGCUAGUUGGUGAUGUCCAUUGUCUUUGCUCACUAAACUAGAUAGAUGAGGACUCGGAGUUGAUUAACUUUUGGGGAAGAAGAAAAAACGGAAAAAGUUAGAAAAAAUAGACACUUGACUCUCCACCUUGGUUAUUAACCGCCACAUCAAAAAUAAUGUGGCGCUUAAAGAUCACCCAAUAUUCUCUUGGAUUCCUACUGCUAGAGAUUCUAAGUGAAGGGUUUCAAUCCCAUCCCUUAUUUCACUAAAUUCUUUGGUAAAGAUUUAGUUAAUUGAUCUGCAUAAUUAUUGUAUAUUAUUACAAAUACAAUAGUAAUGACAUUAUCUUUCAAAAGUUGUCUAAGAUACUCAUUCUUAAAUUAGUAAGUGUAGAUUUACCAUUUUAUAACUUAUUCAACUACCAUAGAAAUAGUGAUUUCAGCAUCACAAUAUAAAGAGACCAAAAUGACAUAGGUUUAGGCCACAACUUAACAUCAAGUAAUAAAUUUCUAAACCAUUCUGCCUAUGUACAUGUUGUACUAAAGUAAUAAAUUUAGCUUUCAUAAUAGAAUUGACAAUAACUAUUUACUUCUUAGAUGUCCAUGAUAUUGCAUUACCACCAAAAAUGAAUAUCCACACAAUGUAGAAUUAUCAUUCACAAUAAUGAACUAAGUAACCUCCAAGUAACCUUCAAGUACAACUGAAAAUCUAUUAUAAAUCUAUUAUAAAGGAGUUCUAAAUUUUUAGUCAUAUUACAAUAACCAAGAACUUUCCCAAUGGACUUCUAUUGGCCCAAUCCUAAAUUCUUUAUGUAUCUUACAAGUUAUAAACUGCAUACAAAAUAUCUUGUUUUUCAUAUGCAUUGUGUUAUAUUAAAUUUCCAAUUACAAUAGCAUUUUUAAGUUGAGCAAUGGAAUUACUAGAACUUUCAUAUAAUUUCGAGUUAGGAUUAAAAGUGGUACUUAUUUCUUUAAUUUUUAAAUUUGAUAUCUGUUCAAGAGCUUAUCAACAUAAUGGAAUUAACACAAGGAAUGAUCCCUAUUAUUUCUUAAUUUUAAUACUCAAAAUAGUAUUCAUCUUUCCAAAGCUCUUUAUUUCAAACUUUAAAUAAAGAUACUUCUUUGUUUCUUCUACACCUUUUAUAUUAGUUCAACAAUGAGCAUAUUUUGUAAAUGACUAUAUCAUGUGAAUUUAAAAUAAAUACACUUAUCAAAAUUAUUGUAUCUAAAUCUACUUGCAAGUAGUACAGAUUCUAAUUUCUCAACCAUUGUUUCGAUACUUGUUUUAACCUAUAUAAUGUGUUAAACCAAUUUAUAGACUUUCUUUUUAUUUUCAAGAAAAAAAAUAUUUUGGUUGUCCUUCCUAUAUAAGUAUUCUUAUCUAAGAUACUAUCUAAGAAUUUUAUAUUCACAUCCACAUGGCGCACAAGCUAAUUGUACAUUAAAUGUAAUGACAAUAGUACUGUUAUGGAUGUAAAUGUAGCAACCGGUGCAUAUGUGUAUCAAAAUAGUCUAUUUUUCCCUUUGUUCAGAAGUUUUAGCCACUAAUCCAAUUUUGAAUGUUAAAAUAAAUCCAUUCGUUGCAUGUUUUUUCUAAAUAUCCACUUAAAACUAAUUAAUUUUAAACCUUGUGGUUAAUCAACUAGAACCUAUGUAUUGUUAGAUAAUAAUGAGCCUUUUUCAUUAUUGCUUCUCUUUGAAAUUAGGACUAUCAAUGGGUCGAGCCAGUUCAAGCUCGGCCUGUUUGACCCAAGAAAAAGACCGAUGAGUCUAACCUUUCAAUGAGCCAGACUGAGAUUUUUUUAAACCCAAAUUAAAUAUGAGUCGAGAUUGGACAUCAUUAGGCUCAAACCUGAUAUAGACCCAACCCUUUAAUUACCUAUAUAUAUAAUGAUAAAUAUAUUUAUAUUUUGGUAUUAUAUAUAAUUAUAUAUCCAAAUAUAUUAUUACUAAAUACUAAAUAUAUACAAAUAUGUUUAGGGUUCUUUUUUUUGGUACUUUUUUAUGCUUUUUUCUUGAAAACAUCUACAUAUAAUUAUGAGGAAAAUGUAAAUGAAAAGGAGAAAACUAAGUUUUAAUUGAAUUGGGUUGGGUAUCCAAUUAGUUGUUUUACUUUAAAUUAAACUAUCUCAUUGACUUUUUUUUCAUUUCUUAAAUCAAUUUGUUUACUUUAAGUUGAAUCAAUUUGUUUACUUCAUUUGGAUUCAAGGCACAAGGUUAUGAAGACGUUCCAACCUUUGAAGAUAUAUUGGUUGAUGACCGCAUAUUUUAUUACAAUUUUUCAUAUACUUUGAACGAAUUAGAUGUAAAUAUUUUUGAAAAUUCUUGGUUUAUGUACUUUUUAAAAACUAUUACUUGUUCAUGUAUAAUUUUAAUAUUGUAGUCCCAUAAAUGUUAAAUUAGUUUUACAACAUAAUAAUUAUAGUAAUUAUAUUAAGAAAAUUGAAGAGUAAUAAGUGAACUUGGACUAACCCUGAAUAAAGCUCAAAACCCAAUUAUUUUGUGAGUCAAGCAUAAGUUUCACAUUUUUCAAUCAGAAACUCACAACCUGAAAUUCGAAAGUGUUACAAAUUAAAUGAGCUAAACCCGAAUUUAUGAAAACCCAACUCAAAUUGCCCGAUUGACAAGCCUAUUUGAAAUGCAAAAUCUCUUAUUAUCACAGCUAAACUAAAUGUCUUGGGAUCAUUUUUCAAAGUCAAUAAGGUUGAUAUCUUAUUUUGUAAAAUUCUUUGUAACCUUCAACCAAAAAUACAAUUGCUUGUGAAGAUAUGAAAUUAGAAAAAAGAUAUUUUUCUUUUCUUUAUCUUUGACUUCUCGUAGAUUUAAUAGAAGGGUCAACCACCUUCCUCUUAUCAUUUGAAGAAGGAUCAACAUUUUGGAGUGGUUAUUGUUCAUUAUUUGGAUCCACAUUGGGCAUAGAAUCUUUGAAAAACUUAUUUUAAAGAAUUGCACAUUGCUUGACUAUUCAAUUAUAUUAGGAUCAAUAUUGAGUAGUCUAUAGGAUUUAGAAUUUUCAAUGUAAUUUAUUGGUACACUUUUAUGUGCCCUUGGCCCCAAUUUAGUUCCUUUGUUAUCCUAAACCUUAUAGUAAGUUAUGCACCUUCAAACUCUAAAAUAACUUGAGUUUGACUUUUUCCCUUUCCAUACCUCAUAUGGAGAGACAUUUAUUUUCAGUGAAAGAGUUCUACUAUGAACAUGACAUGCAGCCUCGCCCCAAAUUUUUUUGGUAAAGCAAAACAUAAUAACAUAGAAUUAACCACGUUUUUCAAAAUUCUAUUAUUUCUACUUGCCAAACCCAUUUUGUUAUGGAGAAUGUGGCGUAUAAUUCUAUUUUGUUCACAAAAUGGUGAAAAUUAAGUAGAAAAAUAAUCUUCUCCUCUCUUACUUUUUAAUAUUUUAAUUUUCUUUUCCAAUUGAUUUUCAACAGAAGACUUCUAAAAUCUGAACAUACUAAAAGAUUCAUCUUUACAUUUCACAUAAUACACAUGAACAAAUCUAUGACAAUCCAUAAUAAAUAUGUUGAAAUACUUCUUAUUACCUCUUGUUAGAAAACCAUUUACUUCAUACACAUCAAAAUGCACAAGUUUAAGUAAACUAGUAUUUCUUUCAGCCUUAAAAAAAGAUAAUCUUGCCACUUUGGUUUAUAAGCAUGUUCCACAUUUCCUUCUUCAUUACCAUCAUAGGCAAUUACUCUAUAUUAGAUAUACGAUGUAGUCUCUUAUUAUUAACAUGUCUAAAUUUACUAUGCCAUACGGAACGAGAAGAUUCAACAAUAUAAGCAGAAUUAAUAUUUUUCUUAAUACUCAUUUUAAACAUCCCAUUACAAGAGAAACUUUGUCCUAUAAAUAUAUUGAUUGGACAAGAUUAUUUUAUUAGAGUCUAAUACAACCCUAAAACCAUUCUUAUUGAACGUAUUAGCUGAUAUAAGAUUUUUCCAUAUAUCAACAACAUGAAGUACAUUAGUGUGUACUAGCUUUUAGCUUUUUGCCAAAUAUGAAUUGCAAGUCUGCUAUCCUUUUACCAUAAAUCUUGGCAGUGUCAUGAUUGCUCAUUAUCAUUUUAAAACUAUCAAGAACAUCUUCAUGGAUCUUGAAUAUAGAAAUGCCAUUGUAAAUAUACACCAUUGCACCAAAAUCAUAUGACCAACCCCUUAAAUUGAAUCUAGAAGUCAUGUACUAUUGCAACAAUUUUAGCAACAUCUUUGUAUUUCACAAGAUUUGUUUCAGCAUUAUCCUUCUUUUGCUCCUUGUUAGAUGUAUACUAACUUUGUUUAGAAGAUUUUCUCUUCUCAGGCUCUCCACCAAUGUUGUUGUUCCUCUUCUUCUCAUCCACAUAGUUCACCUUAGGACCAACAUCAAUUUCUCUUUUUUGAAAAAUUCAAACAUCCUUUUGGGUAAUAUGGAGCAAUUUCUUUUGAUAGUCAUUUUAACUGGUGGUAACUUUACUAUAAUUGGCUCCACUCCACUUGCAAUGCCUCAAAAAUCUACACACCAAGAUCUUUAAAUUUAGAAACCAAAAUUUGUAGAUCAUGCAUUGAUCAAGGAGAAAGAAUCUUCAUUAAUAAGAAAAUCAAAAUAUUUCUUAAUAAAUUUGUCCAUACCUUGUUUUUGAGUAGGAUAUUUAUACUCCAAUGCAACAUAAAUUUCUCUUGGUGAUUUAAUAGAAGCAUACAUGUCAUAGAGCCCAUCCAAGAGCGUGUCCAAAAUGUGGCUUCUACACAAGACUUCAUACUCUUCACGCUUCCUUCGUUCAGCCUUUAAUGUUUAAAGUCUUGAUAUCAUGAUCCUUAGGAGGAGAAAUUGAUGACAAUAUCGAACCAAGUACAUAGCGCUACCUUUAUCAUUUCACCUCUUGAAGUUUGUCCUCUUUGUAUCAAGCUGAUCAUGUUUAAUAACCCUUUGGCUUAUGAUCUUGAGAGGAUUUUCAGUUAAAGAAUCCAUUUUACACGAUAAAAUCCUAAAGACUGUUGAAGAAUAAUGCAUGCUAGAAUGCAUAAAUUUGUAACAAUAAAUUUCACAAAGCCAAUGGGAUUUGUUUGAUGAUCUUGAGGUGUGUAGAAAAUAAUCUCCUUAAAGUUUUUAUUGUACAAUUAAUAGUUUGCUUUUGGAUUAUGACAAAAUACUUUUAGAAUACAGUAAGAUGAAGGGAACGUUGACAAUAACUCACUAAAAUGAUCAAAUGCAAAAAGUUAAUUUAAUUGUAAGAAGGGCUAUCAAUUUCUAAGAAAAUGUGUUCAUACUUAUUUCUAACGUUCAUAAAUUAUGUCCGAUGAAAACAAACCUUCUAGAUGAAAUUUAAAAAAAUUAAAAAACUAAAAAAUUUCUGCCUGCUGGUGAAGAUCCUGUCGUGGGUCCAAAUGAACUUGUAACGGGAUCCAAAGUCAAAUCUGGUUCACAUUCUUGUCAACAAAAACCCGGCACCGAAUCAUCAGUAAUCUGGAUUGGAGCAGGAUAUAGAAAGGACCUCUUCGGUCAUGAGCCCGCUUUGGAUCAGGCUUGGUAUACACCAAAAUUUUUAUUAAGUUUUUGGUACUUUGAUUUUGUUUCCAAGUCUCACAUUGCACAAUUCAAGUCUUAUUUGUAUAUUCUAUGUUUCAUUUGCACAUUCUGUGUCUCAUUUGCACAUUUCUACAUUUCACUAUAAAUUAUUCCAGCAAUUUCUUAUUGCACUUAAUGCAGUACAAGGGAUGGUCCUCGUGAGAAUCAUUGUGUCCAAAAUCUGAAUUUCAACGUUUCAACCAAAUCCCAGUAAGCAACUAAGUAAAACGAUUAACUUCUACACAAUUUUUGCAAGACUAAGCCUAGUUGAUGACUGCUUGAGUAAUAGAGAAGGAAGGCUUGCAGGGAGAAAAGGUAUCGAUGAAAGUCUUCUCUCCGAUGCAUGUUUUACCAUGGAGUAUAUGGCGAUCUCAAUUGUUUUUUCAAGCAUGAUUUUGACUUCUUAGCCACCAGAUACAAGCAGCUAAGCAUUGCAAAAUUUCUCAAUUAAGUAUAGUCAUCACAAUAAAUUGGCGAAUUUGGCAAAGUUGUAUUCUUCAACCUCUAACAAUCUCUGCUUAACACUCCAGAUGCCAUUUACAGUAACCCAAGACCAGAACUCGCAACCAGAUACGUCAAAUUUAAAUCACUAUGCCUGAGUAAUAAAGUAAAAUUGACUCGGAUAAUUCAAUUCAAAGACAGAAGUGAUACAAAAACAUUUGAACAAGUCAUUUUGUUAUGCAGAGUUGCAGUCUCAGAGAACGGUAAACAUGUCCAUGGCGAUCAUGCUUCUCAAUGAAAUUUAAAGGGCCUGAAAGAUGAGUGGAAAAGAAGCAGGAAACUAAUUUAAAUACAGAAUUUGCCGUAUAGGGAGCUGAUUAGAAUUCACAUACACGCUACAAAACCAUAAGACUAGUCUUUGGCAGCCAAUUCAAUUCCAAGUGGGCUCAAAUUAUAGUGUAAACGGUUUUCUUCGUACAGUAACACAACAAUUACUUGCCUAAAUCAAUUCCAUCUUCGACCU